RNAcentral lists this transfer RNA (72 nucleotides) under Nilaparvata lugens yeast-like symbiont. RNAcentral's name for it is "tRNA-Pro (AGG) (tRNA-Pro-AGG-1-1)". It matches the Rfam family "tRNA". Rfam says of the family: Transfer RNA (tRNA) molecules are approximately 80 nucleotides in length. Their secondary structure includes four short double-helical elements and three loops (D, anti-codon, and T loops). Lineage: Eukaryota; Fungi; Ascomycota. The record is from RNAcentral.
GGUCUGGUGGUCUAGUGGUAUGAUUCUCGCUUAGGGUGCGAGAGGUCCCGGGUUCAAUCCCCGGCCAGGCCC